GAUGAACGCUGGCGGCGUGCCUAAUACAUGCAAGUCGAACGAGAAAGAGGAAGUCUUCGGAUGGACUCUGGAGAGUGGCGCACGGGUGAGUAACACGUAGAUGACCUGCCCCGGAGAGGGGGAUAACCGUUGGAAACGACAGCUAAUACCCCAUAAGCUCACGGUUUUCAGAAAGCUGUGAGAAAAGGUUCCGGCGCUUCGGGAGGGGUCUGCGGCCCAUCAGCUGGUUGGUAGGGUAACGGCCUACCAAGGCGAAGACGGGUAGGGGGCCUGAGAGGGUGGUCCUCCACACGGGAACUGAGACACGGUCCCGACUCCUACGGGAGGCAGCAGUAAGGAAUAUUGCCCAAUGGACGCAAGUCUGAGGCAGCAACGCCGCGUGUGCGAAGAAGGCCUCGGGUUGUAAGCGACUUUUGUAGAGGAUGAGGAAGGACGGUACGUCUCAGAAUAAAGUCUCGGCUAACUACGUGCCAGCAGCCCGGUAAUCUAGUCUACG
Molecule: ribosomal RNA, 496 nt
Filed under: uncultured bacterium
Lineage: Bacteria
Description: bacterial SSU rRNA
Rfam family: Bacterial small subunit ribosomal RNA
Source: RNAcentral